Molecule: transfer RNA, 87 nt
Filed under: Clostridium sp. AF50-3
Lineage: Bacteria; Bacillati; Bacillota; Clostridia; Eubacteriales; Clostridiaceae
Description: tRNA-Ser
Rfam family: tRNA
About the family: Transfer RNA (tRNA) molecules are approximately 80 nucleotides in length. Their secondary structure includes four short double-helical elements and three loops (D, anti-codon, and T loops). Further hydrogen bonds mediate the characteristic L-shaped molecular structure. tRNAs have two regions of fundamental functional importance: the anti-codon, which is responsible for specific mRNA codon recognition, and the 3' end, to which the tRNAs corresponding amino acid is attached (by aminoacyl-tRNA synthetases). tRNAs cope with the degeneracy of the genetic code in two manners: having more than one tRNA (with a specific anti-codon) for a particular amino acid; and 'wobble' base-pairing, i.e. permitting non-standard base-pairing at the 3rd anti-codon position.
Source: RNAcentral
GGAGAUUUGGCAGAGUGGUUGAUUGCAACAGUCUUGAAAACUGCAGACCGGGAAUUCGGUUCCAGGGUUCGAAUCCCUGAGUCUCCG